This 591-nucleotide long non-coding RNA is filed under the name Homo sapiens (human). Its description in RNAcentral is "non-protein coding lnc-HSPB7-5:4". Lineage: Eukaryota; Metazoa; Chordata; Mammalia; Primates; Hominidae. The record is from RNAcentral.
GGUGGCCCCCCUGACCCCUCCCUGGGCACAGGUAGGGAACCUGAAGGCCCACCUGAAGAUCCACAUCGCUGACGGGCCCCUCAAGUGCCGAGAGUGUGGGAAGCAGUUCACCACCUCAGGUAGGGCCAGGGCUGCCCUGGCUGCCCUCACACCCCUGCUCCUCGGCCACCGGUGGUGCCCCACGCCAGGUUCGCCCUCGGUCUCGCCACAGGGAACCUGAAGCGGCACCUUCGGAUCCACAGCGGGGAGAAGCCCUACGUGUGCAUCCACUGCCAGCGACAGUUUGCAGACCCCGGCGCUCUGCAGCGGCACGUCCGCAUUCACACAGGUGAGAAGCCAUGCCAGUGUGUGAUGUGCGGUAAGGCCUUCACCCAGGCCAGCUCCCUCAUCGCCCACGUGCGCCAGCACACCGGGGAGAAGCCCUACGUCUGCGAGCGCUGCGGCAAGAGGUCCUGCCCCCUCCCCCACACCCACUGGCCAGACACCCCACAGUGAGGGGGCUCAGAAGACAAACUGGGGGCUUGGCUGGGGACUGAGCUGACUGCUGCCCACGCCCCAGGCUCUGGUCCUAGGGGUCCUUUUCAGUCUAGA